Molecule: long non-coding RNA, 253 nt
Filed under: Elaeis guineensis (African oil palm)
Lineage: Eukaryota; Viridiplantae; Streptophyta; Magnoliopsida; Arecales; Arecaceae
Description: long non-coding RNA (EGUI_LNC009381)
Source: RNAcentral
GUUCAAUAAGAAUCAUCAAUAAUUAAUUCUAAUAAUAUCUGAUCUAGCUAGAAUAGGUGCCUGCACACUGCCCAGUGACUAUGGAGCAAGAUCCCUUCAUUCGAGACAAUCAAACUCCUUGAAAGAAAGUUUUUUAUUAGAUCAAUCUUAGAGAAAAAACUUUAGAGAGAGAAAGUAGAGAGAAACAACUUUAGAGAGAGAAAGGUGUAAAGAGAUUGGCAAAAGCAUGUGAAGAGAGAGAGGGAAGGGAGAG